RNAcentral lists this transfer RNA (69 nucleotides) under Gemmatimonadales bacterium. RNAcentral's name for it is "tRNA-Met". It matches the Rfam family "tRNA". From Rfam's summary of the family: Transfer RNA (tRNA) molecules are approximately 80 nucleotides in length. Their secondary structure includes four short double-helical elements and three loops (D, anti-codon, and T loops). The record is from RNAcentral. Lineage: Bacteria; Pseudomonadati; Gemmatimonadota; Gemmatimonadia; Gemmatimonadales.
CGGGGUGGAGCAGCCUGGUAGCUCGUCGGGCUCAUAACCCGAAGGUCGCGGGUUCGAAUCCCGCCCCCG